This 82-nucleotide transfer RNA is filed under the name Fusarium fujikuroi. RNAcentral describes it as "transfer RNA-Undet(???)". It matches the Rfam family "tRNA". Rfam says of the family: Transfer RNA (tRNA) molecules are approximately 80 nucleotides in length. Their secondary structure includes four short double-helical elements and three loops (D, anti-codon, and T loops). The record is from RNAcentral. Lineage: Eukaryota; Fungi; Ascomycota; Sordariomycetes; Hypocreales; Nectriaceae.
GGAGCGGUGGCUGGGUGGUUAAAGCAUGGUGAACCGUCGCCAGCGGCACCAAGAUACGCCGGUUCGACUCCGGCCCGUUCUG